This 1002-nucleotide long non-coding RNA is filed under the name Lathyrus oleraceus (garden pea). RNAcentral's name for it is "Pisum sativum (pea) long non-coding RNA (PSAT_LNC041446)". Lineage: Eukaryota; Viridiplantae; Streptophyta; Magnoliopsida; Fabales; Fabaceae. The record is from RNAcentral.
UUUAACAUCAACAUUUUCAUCAUUCACACAAUUCAAUCAAAUUUCAUAGGUUUAACAACAACGUUUCCAUCAUUCACACAAUUCAAUCCAAUUUCAUAGGUAUAACAACAACAUUUUCAUCAUUCACACAAUUCAAUAAAAUAUCAUGUGUUUAAUAACAACAUUUUCAUUAUUCCCACAAUUCAAUAAAAUUCCACGGGUUUAACAACAACAUUUUCAUCAUUCCCACAAUUCAAUCAAAUUUCAUGGGUCUAACAUCAAAAUGUCAUCAUUUCGAUAAUUCAACCAAAUUUCAUGGGUUUAACAACAACAUUUUAUUCAUUCCCACAUUUCAAUAAAAUUUCAUGGGUUUAACAUCAACAUUUUCAUCAUUCCCACAAUUCAAUCAAAAUUCAUGUGUUUAAUAACAACAUUUUAUUCAUACACACAAUUCAAUCCAAUUUCAUGGAUUUAACAACAACAUUUCAUCAUUUUCACAAUUCAAUCAAAUUUCAUAGGUUUAACAACAACACUUUCAUCAUUCACAUAAUUCAAUCAAAUUUCAUAGGUUUAACAACAACAUUUUUAUCAUUCCCAUAAUUCAAUCAAAUAUCAUGGAUUUAACACAACAUUUUCAUCAUUCCCAUAAUUCAAUCAAAUUUUAUCGGUUUAACAUCAACAUUUUCAUCAUUCACACAAUUCAAUCAAAUUCCAUAGGUUUAACAACAACGUUUCCAUCAUUCACACAAUUCAAUCAAAUUUCAUAGGUUUAACAACAACGUUUCCAUCAUUCACACAAUUCAAUCUAAUUUCAUAGGUAUAACAACAACAUUUUCAUCAUUCACACAAUUCAAUAAAAUAUCAUGUGUUUAAUAACAACAUUUUCAUUAUUCCCACAAUUCAAUAAAAUUUCACGGGUUUAACAACAACAUUUUCAUCAUUCCCACAAUUCAAUCAAAUUUCAUGGGUCUAACAUCAAAAUGUCAUCAUUUCGAUAAUUCAACCAAAUUUCAUGGGUUUAAC